GAUGAAGAACGUAGCGAAAUGCGAUAAGUAAUGUGAAUUGCAGAAUUCAGUGAAUCAUCGAAUCUUUGAACGCACAUUGCGCCCGCCAGUAUUCUGGCGGGCAUGCCUGUUCGGGCGUCAUUACAACCCUCAGGCCCCCGGGCCUGGCGUUGGGGAUCGGCGGAAGCCCCCUGCGGGCACAACGCCGUCCCCCAAAUACAGUGGCGGUCCCGCCGCAGCUUCCAUUGCGUAGUAGCUAACACCUCGCAACUGGAGAGCGGCGCGGCCACGCCGUAAAACACCCAACUUCUGAAUGUUGACCUCGAAUCAGGUAGGAAUACCCGCUGAACUUAAGCAUAUCAAUAAGCGGAGGA
RNAcentral lists this unclassified non-coding RNA (353 nucleotides) under soil metagenome. RNAcentral describes it as "partial contains 5.8S ribosomal RNA, internal transcribed spacer 2, and large subunit ribosomal RNA". The stretch from base 1 to 120 matches the Rfam family "5.8S ribosomal RNA", at positions 35 to 154 of the family's 154-position model. The record is from RNAcentral.